AACGAACGCUGGCGGCGUGCCUAACACAUGCAAGUCGAACGAGACCUUCGGGUCUAGUGGCGCACGGGUGCGUAACGCGUGGGAACCUGCCCUUAGGUUCGGAAUAACUCCCCGAAAGGGGUGCUAAUACCGGAUAAUGUCUUCGGACCAAAGAUUUAUCGCCUUUGGAUGGGCCCGCGUUGGAUUAGCUAGUUGGUAGGGUAAAAGCCUACCAAGGCGACGAUCCAUAGCUGGUCUGAGAGGAUUAUCAGCCACACUGGGACUGAGACACGGCCCAGACUCCUACGGGAGGCAGCAGUGGGGAAUAUUGGACAAUGGGCGAAAGCCUGAUCCAGCAAUGCCGCGUGAGUGAUGAAGGCCUUAGGGUUGUAAAGCUCUUUUACCCGGGAUGAUAAUGACAGUACCGGGAGAAUAAGCUCCGGCUAACUCCGUG
This 433-nucleotide ribosomal RNA is filed under the name uncultured bacterium. Its description in RNAcentral is "partial 16S ribosomal RNA". It matches the Rfam family "Bacterial small subunit ribosomal RNA", at positions 29 to 507 of the family's 1533-position model. The record is from RNAcentral.